UUGUCCGGAAUUACUGGGCGUAAAGAGCUCGUAGGUGGUUUGUCGCGUUGUUCGUGAAAACUCACAGCUUAACUGUGGGCGUGCGGGCGAUACGGGCAGACUGGAGUACUGCAGGGGAGACUGGAAUUCCUGGUGUGGCGGUGGAAUGCGCAGAUAUCAGGAGGAACACCCAUGGCGAAGGCAGCUAACUGGGCAUUAUCUGACGCUGAGGCGCGAAAGCGUGGGUAGCAAACAGG
RNAcentral lists this ribosomal RNA (236 nucleotides) under uncultured bacterium. RNAcentral's name for it is "partial 16S ribosomal RNA". It matches the Rfam family "Bacterial small subunit ribosomal RNA", at positions 541 to 776 of the family's 1533-position model. The record is from RNAcentral.